This 305-nucleotide ribosomal RNA is filed under the name uncultured bacterium. Its description in RNAcentral is "partial 16S ribosomal RNA". It matches the Rfam family "Bacterial small subunit ribosomal RNA", at positions 505 to 807 of the family's 1533-position model. The record is from RNAcentral.
ACAGCAGUAGCCACGGUAAUACAGAGGGUGCGAGCGUUAAUCGGAUUUACUGGGCGUAAAGCGUGCGUAGGCGGCUUUUUAAGUCGGAUGUGAAAUCCCUGAGCUUAACUUAGGAAUUGCAUUCGAUACUGGGAAGCUAGAGUAUGGGAGAGGAUGGUAGAAUUCCAGGUGUAGCGGUGAAAUGCGUAGAGAUCUGGAGGAAUACCGAUGGCGAAGGCAGCCAUCUGGCCUAAUACUGACGCUGAGGUACGAAAGCAUGGGGAGCAAACAGGAUUAGAUACCCGAGUAGUCCCUGUCUCUUAUAC